CUUUUGCUGGUCUCGGUUCCAACCGGUUCGUCAGCAGAAUGAGGAAAGAUGAAAUCAGUGUUGUACAGAUGACUGACGCCUCCUGAUAGGCUUACAUUGGCAAUGUUGGCGAUCUUCAUGGGGCAAGGUUUGGAGAAAGUCAUGGAUGGAAAUAACAUUAAAGAAGCUGCUAUGGUUCCAACACCAGCAUAACAUCAGAAGUGGAUCUGAAAAUCUCUUCAGGACAACAUCCUUGUCACCAGGACAAACAAUAGCUAAGGAGGUUGAACAUCUUCACUGAAGCUUUCUGAAAAACAGGAGAUUCCUCUAAAGCGCAGAGAGCGUUAUCACUUUUCCCCCAGCUGCACUAAUAUUGCCAUGUUUUUUAUUUUUAAGUGAUGUCCAACGUACAGAAGCACAGGUCAGUUUGGAAAUAAAGCGUUUACAUCGUGCAGCAAUUCAAUCCACAACCACUUAGAAGCCUUGUAUACAAAGCACCAGCAAGUGGCAAAAACAAGUUCAUUUUUGCACAGUAAUCCACGGAGGAAUUGGCGCUACAGACAGACAUACUGCCUCAGUUGCUAUGGAUAUGGCAGGGAAUUUGGGUAAUGUUUGUUGAUAGGAUUGGAAAUUUGAGUAUCAGAAAUUAAGGUCAAAGGUGGAGUCUAACCUGAGAGACACAUACAAAUUGAAAAAAGAGGUUGAAUUUCCCAGUGCAGACUGUACCUUGCUUUCUUGAAGUCUCAUUUGCUUAUUUUGCCUAUUUGCUUUUGCUUAGUCCAAUCAUACGCAGGAUAGCCAAUCACUCAUUGGAUUUUUCUCCCCCUUCUGACAAUUAGAGAUUUUGAUAAGCCUCAUUUGAACACUGAGAUUUCACUAGGCAUUUGAACAACCUUUCAAAGCAUUCUUUGAAGACAUAAGGAUUAGCAACCUGACCCUUGGAAAAAAGAGGGGAGAGGAUGCUAUUUUUUUUAGAAAGCUAAUUUCUAUACUUGACAUAAAAACCCAUUAUUUCACAGAACUAUAUUCAGUUCUGUGUCAUGACUUUAUUUAUUCAAUGUAUAGCCUACUUUUUUCUAUGACUGCACUCAGGGGAACAAACAUGAGAUUCCCAUGCAAUUUUCAACAGUGGCAUAGUGACAAAUUUUGUGCAUGUUUUGACCAUGCUUUAACUUCAAAACAGAAUCCAGCAUAACUGAUCUACCUCAAUGAACUACUAACAGCAACUUCCAUCUCCAGCAGAAACAGGUCUUUGGGUUCAACAGUUCCAAGGUGCUCAUUUCAGACCAAGCAACCCCCAAAUACCAAACUAUUCACAAUAAGUCAUUCUUCUUCAUUCACACAGUCGUUUCCGACUCUUCGUGACCUCAUGGACCAGUCCACGCCAGAGCUCCCUGUUGGCCGUUGCCGCCCCCAAUAAGUCAUUGCUGUUGUUCAUAGCCACACAUUCCCAGCAACUGUAAGGACUGCAGGUAAGACCCAAGGAAAUAGGGAUGUCUAAAGAGAAGGUCAGAUGGCUUUAUCGCCCCAGCCAAUCAAAAAUGAUCCUUUGAUCCUUUGAGCUCAGAUUCCACUGCAUCACUUCUACUUCCAGUACAUUACAGAUUCCUUUAGAUUCAGCAAGGCCUUGAUGAAAUGGGCCUCUCUAAACCAGUGACCAUUUUUAUUCACGAGGAGAUGUGCACAAGUGAAUGGCGGGAAGAGGCUUGCUAACACAUACACAACCCCCUUCUGCAUGUAUGUAUGUGACCCUCAUACAUGCAUUGCAGUUCAAGCAGAGCUCUAAGCUGCAAAGCCCCGGUGCAUGUAAAGACAACAAAGAUUAUGAGAAGGUCAUGUCUCUGUUACACAGUACUCAUGUUCUCAAAGACAAGUGUGAGCCUGCAGGUACAAUGUGAGAGUCUGAUCUAAUGUUAAACGUGACAAGGACAGGCUUGUAUUCUCGCUCGUUUCCUCUUGCACCUCUUUGACUUUGAAAGCCUCCCCAUUCCAUUUAUUAUGAACCUACUCAACAAACACCUGCUUCCUAAUUCCAGCUCUUGCCAAGCAGCAUAAAUUCAUCCCCCUCCCCUCAAUUACCUUCCAGAAAUCCCUCCUCUGUUCCUCCUCUUCAAGGUAAGUUCAGGAGAAAGAGGUUCCUUGAGAAUUAAAAGCAAGCCGUCUGCUCGCACUCAAGGUCAGUUGGUGCUGCAGGAAAGGUGUGUUUUUUUAUUAGCUCACCUUGCUAGUUCUAUCAGAAAAUGUUACUUUGGUGCACAGAGAUAAUUAUUUUGAACAGAUUGCAGAUCCCUAGGGGGCAUAUGCCAUCUUUGGGAACCUUGGAUAGCUUAAGAUAGUGGCACCAUUGACUGGAACUAAACAGUGCUCAUUAUUGAGCUGUCAUGUGAGAAAACAUGGCUGCCCCCAAAUGCCUGCAGAAUGUAAAAAAGAAAGGGAGGAACUGAAAAAGAACACACCAAUGGCAACAUCUGAGCAUGAAUAAUCAUAUCUUGGGUCCUUCCCCAAAGGGGAAGAGGGCUAAACUGAACCUAACUGCAGUAAACGUAUUUUACUUGCUGUUCCAGCAAAUGGAUUUCGGCCCUGGCCCUCUCUUCUGGGCUGACGGUUAUUCCAUCCAACACCUGAAGCUUCGGCAAGCGAUAUAUUAGAAGUGGACGAUGGCAGAUCUUACGGGAUACCUGAGAGGCAGAGAGAAAGAGAAAGAGGCUGGGAGUUAAGCUGAUAAACCUCCAGAUUCAUUGGGUUUGCAUCCCUUCCUGGGGUUGAGAUCCAAGCUCUACAUUAGGCAAAGUAGCAGAAAGCACUUCAGGCAAAAAGAACCAAUUUCAGCCCCAGAUUCAGCAGGUAGGUUGGAAAAACUGCCCAAACUCUGAAGAUCUGGUGACAAGACUGGCUUGAUGGACUACCAGGCUGGUUCAGGGGAAAGAUGCCUCCUACGUUCCUAUACGAUGUCUAGGAUUCUCGGGUAAAGUAAAAAAAAGUAUGCUUUGCAUGCCACAAAUGCUACAUUCAUGCUCAAUUGUAGAUCUCCCAGGUCUGUCCCUAUGAAGUUAAGAUGGGGAGCAAAGCAAGAAUUUCCCUCAUUUCAAAUUUGAGAGACUCCAGGGACUGGCAAUCAGUCUUACACACAACUGGGCUAACUGAACCAGCCCUCUAAGUCACUAAAAAGCCAAAUCCA
Molecule: long non-coding RNA, 3157 nt
Organism: Anolis carolinensis (green anole)
Lineage: Eukaryota; Metazoa; Chordata; Lepidosauria; Squamata; Anolidae
Exons: 4
Source: RefSeq, a predicted model, not a curated record